Mugil cephalus (flathead mullet) is the source of this 3452-nucleotide RNA transcript. It is a transcript of the gene named RNA-binding protein with multiple splicing-like, with no coding region annotated. The transcript has 9 exons. The record is from RefSeq and is a predicted model, not a curated record. NCBI's taxonomy places the organism in Eukaryota, Metazoa, Chordata, Actinopteri, Mugiliformes, Mugilidae.
UCCUCCUCCUCCCUCAGAUGGGGAGAUGGGGAGAGAAGUUUGCCGGCGGCGCGGUCCACUCAACAUUUACUGUAUUUCAUUUGGGGAACAGCAACAAGAGCCUCGCGGAGAAGCUUUCCAGGGAAUGCUGAGGAAUAUCUGACGAACAUCUGCAACGCCGCCGACACCUUCCUGUUUUCUGUCAAGAGAAAAAGAAAACAAAACCCCCUCAUCAUCAUUGAUGUCGCUGAAGUAGUGGGAAGCUCGGGUCAGUGGGACAGCGGCCGCACGCGGACUCUCGGUCUGCUUUUAAUUUGUGGGACCCGGAGAAGAAGAACGGGGACGAAGGCGAAGAGGAAGGAGGAGAAGAACAGUCUAGGUGAAAGUGAGAAAAGAGUCCGGCUCAGGAUGAAUAGCAACAAAAUCGAGAAAGAGAACGAGCAGAGUGAAUUCACCAACCACGAAGAGGAGGUCCGAACGCUAUUCGUCAGUGGCCUACCGCUGGAUAUCAAACCGCGGGAGCUGUAUCUCCUCUUCAGACCAUUUAAGGGCUACGAAGGCUCCUUGAUAAAGCUCACUUCCAAACAGCCAGUGGGGUUUGUCAGCUUUGACAGUCGAUCAGAGGCGGAGGCUGCUAAGAAUGCCUUGAACGGUGUCCGUUUUGAUCCGGAGAUCCCCCAAACUCUGCGGCUGGAGUUCGCCAAAGCCAACACCAAGAUGGCCAAAAACAAGCUGGUUGGCACUCCCAACCCUCCUCCCUCCCAGCAGAGCCCCGGGCCACAGUUCAUCAGCAGGGACCCAUAUGAGCUCACAGUGCCUGCUCUAUAUCCCAGCAGCCCAGACGUGUGGGCGUCAUACCCACUGUACCCGGCGGAGCUGUCGCCGGCCCUUCCACCCGCUUUCACCUACCCCUCCUCGCUCCACGCUCAGAUCCGCUGGCUCCCACCUGCAGAUGGAACUCCUCAGGGAUGGAAGUCCAGGCAGUUCUGCUGAAGUAUGUGUUCCUGAUGUGUGAUGGUGGCCGUGGCCGGCUGUGACGGGGCGUUGCUGAUUGACCUCUCGUGUCCUAUUAGAAACCAGGAGGACUGACCUGACCCCCGGCCCCUCGGAGCAGCGCACCGUCGGCAGCAGCAGCCUCAUGGGCCUCAGGACAUACUAGACCCCAGCCUCCAUCACACAUCGAGCCCCCUCACCCUCCCCAAAGUCCCUCCAACUCUUUUUAUUUUAUUAUUAUUUUUUUUUUUUUAUAUAUAUAUAUAUAUAUAUACUGUUACAUAUUUGAGCUUUACAGGCAGCGCUUUGGCUACACCUCCUCUGACACCUCCGUGAAAGGUACCCGGCGUGCAAGGCGAAAAGGUGCACACCGACCGACCGCCUCUUUGCAUUCUGCGUAUGCAAGCGCGGAGGCGGACCACCGAGGGAGCGCAAACACGUUUUUAUGCAGCCACUUUGCAAGGCCAGACGUACGGAAGUGUGGCUAAAGCGCUACUUGCUAAUGUUGUUAUAUGACUAUAAUUAUUACUUUUUUCUGUAUAUCAUUCAUAUUAAUGUUAUUAUGAUUAUUAAAUACAUGUCAAAGCAUGACUUUGCAAAAAAAAAAAAAAAUUAAAAAUAAAGGAAAAAAAAAACAAUGCUGUACAUUUUUAGAUAUUUUAAAGAAAUACAAAAGGGUAUUUUUGUAAUCAAGACAAUGUUUGAGACGUUUUGAUUGGUUUAUGUCAAGUGUGUGAGGAAUUUCUUUUUUUUUUUUUUAUGCUUUUGGUUUUGUUUUUGUUUUUUGUGCCAUUAUAGGAUGAUAAGUCGCCCUGCUAAACCAAAGCGGCCCCCGUCUUUUCUACGUGCUGCGUGGAUUUUUCGGUUUGCUCUUGUUUCUUUUGUGUGGUGUCAAACACAGAAGUCCUUUGUGUAGUCAACUGCGCUGUGACAAAACACACCUGAUCCAGCUCAUUAUUUUUGCGGUCGGAGGUAAUCAGAUGUGUUAAAAAAAAAAAAAAAAAAAAAAAAGAAAAAAAAAAUAGAAGAGGCAUUGACAGGAACAAGCCAUCGCCGGUGAAGGUAGAGUGACCCCAGAGACGGCAAUACAUGGCGAACUGAGCCCUGCUAUUAUUAGGAUUUCACUCCUUCUUUGUGUAGCGGGAGGACAGCGGCGCAGUAUAGAGAAACAAAAAAGACCAAAGGCAUUUUUAUUUUACACUGGAGAGCUAUUUAGGCUAGUGGAAUUAUUCCGUUUUUGACUGCUUUGUAGUCCUCAGUCUGAUUUCUUAUGAAGUACGACAAUAUUUUUUUGCUGCAUGUCCCCUUUUUGGUGUCACUCCAAAGAGCCAAUCUGCAUCUGAAAGCAUAUUCGCUAAGCAAUUUGCCUCUUUUGUCUAUUUUUAGGGAGCCAAAGUGAUUCAACCUGCUUUUCUUAAGUCGGAAUUUACAUACAAAUAAUUGGAGUGUUUUAAAAAAGAAAAAGUCUUUUGUAAUCUCCUGUCUCUCUGGGACUGCAAUAAUGUCUUUGCUGUAUGACAUAUCAUCCACUGAUCAUAUUUCUGUGACGCGUUGACGCCAAAACUCUUAAAAACAGCGACUCGUCUGCUGUUCUGAUAAGGUUAGGUCACAUUUCACACGGAUGUGACAAUCAGAAACUGUAAGGAAAAAAAAAGAAAAGAAAACGACGCUCCCUGUGAUGUUUAGCCCAGGUGUGUACAAUCAUAUUGGACUGGUUAAUACAGUAGUCAGUGUUUGUAAUGAAUAAUAAUAAUAUGCAUCAUAUAUAUCUGAUUUUCUGAAGCGGUUUUUGCUUUGAAAGACAUUUUUUAAGCCGAGCGUGGCACCAAAUUUAUUAGAACAAGUAUUUAUAAAAAUGUGUGUGCGUGUGUGUUUUUUUAUGGGUAUAGUCUUUUUAAAGUUCAUAGAAGAUGCCCAUUAUAUAAUUCAUUGUAAGUAUUAUUGUAAGUUUAAUUGUAUAUUCAUUUGGUAAUUUUUCUAGAGCAUUGUUCGUUUUUUUUUUUUUUUUGUAUGUGUCCGUUUGGAGCAUACUGUAUGUGAUAUGUGAAUACGGUUUUACCUACAUAAUUCACUGUGAAAUCCAGAGGAGAAAAAAAAAAUAAGAAGAAAAAGAACAAACGGAUCUUUUUGUGUUUUGCCAGCGGUACGGUACAGAAGUUCCUGGAAAUGAAUAUGAUGAUCCCUCCUUUCUGUCAAUGAAAAAAUAUUCCUUUGCUUGUUUCAGUAUACCGUGUGCGUAGCUGUGUGUUCUGUGCAUGUUCACGGCAUGUGUGUUCUUUUCUUUUUCUCGAUGCAUACAGUACUGUUGAUAUUUAUGUACUUUAGCCGCUGUGAGGAGAAAAAACUGUAUUUCGGUGAAUUGCAGAGGUUUCUUUGAAACAUUAAAAAAAAAAAAAAGGGUGAUCAAAAUGAGUUUUUAUGAAAAUGUUGAAUGAAGACAUUUCAGGCCAUCAGCCAUUAAAGAUUGACAUUAUCCCCGC